RNAcentral lists this ribosomal RNA (403 nucleotides) under uncultured archaeon. RNAcentral's name for it is "bacterial SSU rRNA". It matches the Rfam family "Archaeal small subunit ribosomal RNA", at positions 251 to 656 of the family's 1478-position model. The record is from RNAcentral.
ACCAAACCUAUAACCGGUACGGGCUCUGAGAGGAGAAGCCCGGAGAUGGGCACUGAGACAAGGGCCCAGGCCCUAUGGGGCGCAGCAGGCGCGAAAACUCUGCAAUGGGCGAAAGCCUGACAGGGUUACUCUGAGUGAUUUCCGCUAAGGAGAUCUUUUGGCAGCUCUAAAAAUGGUGCAGAAUAAGGGGUGGGCAAGUCUGGUGUCAGCCGCCGCGGUAAUACCAGCACCCCGAGUGGUCGGGACGAUUAUUGGGCCUAAAGCAUCCGUAGCCGGUUGUGCAAGUCCUCCGUUAAAUCCAGCCGCUCAACGGAUGGGCUGCGGAGGAUACUACAGAACUAGGAGGCGGGAGAGGCAAGCGGUACUUAGUGGGUAGGGGUAAAAUCCUUUGAUCCAUUGAAGA